CAUGUCCUCUCGCCCCGCCCGCACGACCUCGACCUCUCGCCCACUCCUCCUCUCCGUUCCUCCCGCAGCCGUUAGCCGCCGGAGACGCCCGCCAUGCCCGUCGCCGCGGGAGCCUCCCUUCACCACGGGAGCCGCCGCCAAGCCCGAGGGUUGCGCCCGAGCCACUGCCCUUCGCCGCGGGAGCCACCGCCGAGCCCAUCCAUCGCGCCCGAGCCACUGCCUGGCGUGGGCCAGGGUGCUGGCGACGCGAUGAAUCGUCCACGUCGGCCCCUCACCGAUCUGUGCCGGCUUUUGCAUCGCCAUGCCGCCGUCUUCAUCGACCUCUCACUGCGUAUUGUUAUGGGUGGCCGGCGAACAAACCCACCUACUACCAUAUUCGUCUCAAGAUUGAACGCACCUCACCCAUCCUUCGUUUCACAGGGUGAGCUCCAAGGUAGCGACACCGUGGGCGGCGGUGGCGGGGCUGGCCGCUGUUGGCAGCAGGAAUUCACCAUCGGCUCUCAAAUCCACCAUACUACGCUGCUGCACAAUCUCAACCAGGUUGAUCAAUGUAGCUAUACCUGGAACCAUUGAUGAGAGAGCAAUAAAUAAGAAAAGAGUUCUUAACCCAUGGGACAGGAAUGAAAACCAUAUGUUGUGCCUCAACUCUGCACAGGCCAUUGGAUGUACUGUGUCAACAUUGGCAGGCAUGAUUUAGUGGAAGGAAGGGUAUAUUUUGGUAUCGAAUACUCUUGUCAUUGCUAAAUGUUGUGCAUCCUUUGGGCUUCUUCAUUGUAUCCCAACAAAUAAACUAGCAUGAGUACUAUAUAAGCAACAGUUAUUAAAUACAGUUCUUUUGUUCGGCGGGCUAAUUGAGUUGUAGGACCAAGUAGAAUUUUACCAAGGGCACUUAAUUGGAGAUGGAAAGAACAGGUGCAUUGGAAGUAGAUUACACGAUGGGUAAAGAACAAUCCAGAGUUCAGACUUCAUGUGCACCUUUGUUGUUGCUAGAUGCUUACUUGUCAUGGGAAUGUUCAUGAUCCGCGAGCCAGGGCAUUCGGUACUAACCAGUGACCAAGAAAAGGUAACAGAUGGGAGCUCUUCUAAUCUCAUUUGUAAAUAUGUUGAACUAUUGAUAUUGUUUGGUCUGCAGAGUUGAAGGGGCGACACAUUAGGAGCACGAUAGCAUUUGAGGACUAGCCACAUGGUACCAACAAGCAGUUCGAGUUUAAUGGCUGGCAGACUCUACUCAGUAAGCGGCAUUUGUUUUUGUUUAAUGAACCUUUGUAACGGAGAGUUAUGUUUUUUUAGAAACUAACGGAGGUGCAAGUAUACGGCCAUGUGUACUCACUAGAAGGCUAAUGCUAAAGUCUGCAACCAAGCGAUUGUUGCAUCUACAUGUACACAUGGAAUGGGAAGCAGGACUGGAGGCAGUACGAGUCAUGGAAAUGAUGAUGAGGAUGACUACUAUCGCAAUGGGGGAUAUGAUAACUAUGGCGAGGGUGAUCUGUAUGGUGAUGAGCACUAUGAUCACUAUGGCGAUGGGGAAUAUGAUGACUGUGGAGAUGAGGAUGACUAUGGCUAUGGCGGCGGCAAUGGCGAUGGCGAUGAUGAUUGGCUAUAAAAGUCUAAUGAUCUUCAAGUCAUGCCAAAAUGUUGUGAUGUUAGAUAUUUGAAACACUUUAUUAUCUUAUGGACAAAUUUGUCUUAGUGGACAAUUUAUCUUAUGCAAAAUGUGACCUAUCUCAAUUACUAUUUUGUUCUGCAUUCGACAUUUGAUAAUUAUGGUUAAUGCAAUUUGGAUGCAACUCAA
Aegilops tauschii subsp. strangulata is the source of this 1792-nucleotide non-coding RNA. Lineage: Eukaryota; Viridiplantae; Streptophyta; Magnoliopsida; Poales; Poaceae. The record is from RefSeq and is a predicted model, not a curated record.